GUCUAUGGCCAUACCACCCUGAACAUACCCGAUCUUGUCUGAUCUCAGAAGCUAAGCAGAGUCAGGCCUGGUUAGUAUUCGGAAGGGAGGAAACAGAGUCGUGCCCAAAUUCCAACAACUAGUAAGGGAUAGAGU
This 135-nucleotide ribosomal RNA is filed under the name Ovis aries (sheep). Lineage: Eukaryota; Metazoa; Chordata; Mammalia; Artiodactyla; Bovidae. The record is from RNAcentral.